GAAAGGGCUAUUAAUACUCCAUAGGUUUAUAAACUAAAUUAAAGAGGCUCCUCUGGGGCCUUGCGUAAAACUAGGAAUAUGUCCUAUUAGGUAGUUGGCGGGGUAAAGGCCCACCAAGCCAAUGAUGGGUAGCUGGACUGAGAGGUUGAACAGCCGCAAUGGGAUUGAGAUAUGGCCCAUAUUCCUACGGGAAGCAGCAGUGAGGAAUUUUUCACAAUGGACGAAAGUCUGAUGGAGCAAUACCACGUGAACGAUGAAGGUCUUCUGAUUGUAAAGUUCUUUUAUUUAGGAAAAAAAGCGUGCUAGGAAAUGAGCGCGCCUUGAUGGUACUAAUUGAAUAAGUGACAGCUAACUAUGUGCCAGCAGCUGCGGUAAAACAUAGGUCACGAGCAUUAUCCGGAUUUAUUGGGCGUAAAGGAAGCGUAGGCGGGGAGGUUGAUCCAUUGUUAAAAGCAUUUGCUUAACAAAUGUGUGCAUUGGAGAUCGCCUCCCUAGAGUUAAUCAGGGGGUACUGGAAUUCAAUGUGUAGCGGUGGAAUGCGUAGAUAUAUUGAGGAACACCAGAGGCUAAGGCGAGUGCCUAGGAUAUAACUGACGCUGAGGCUUGAAAGCGUGGGGAGCAAAUGGGAUUAGAUACCCCAGUAGUCCACGCCGUAAACGAUGAGCAUUGGGCAUUUGACAUCUGGUCGAGUGCUGUAGCUAACGCGUUAAAUGCUCCGCCUGGGUAGUAUAUAUGCAAAUAUGAAACUCAAAGAAAUUGACGGGGACCUGAACAAGUGGUGGAGCAUGUUGCUUAAUUCGAUAAUACACGAAAAACCUUACCAAGGCUU
This 829-nucleotide ribosomal RNA is filed under the name uncultured Mycoplasma sp. RNAcentral describes it as "bacterial SSU rRNA". It matches the Rfam family "Bacterial small subunit ribosomal RNA", at positions 153 to 982 of the family's 1533-position model. Lineage: Bacteria; Bacillati; Mycoplasmatota; Mollicutes; Mycoplasmatales; Mycoplasmataceae. The record is from RNAcentral.